AUUGAACGCUGGCGGCAUGCCUUACACAUGCAAGUCGAACGGCAGCACGGGAGCUUGCUCCUGGUGGCGAGUGGCGAACGGGUGAGUAAUAUAUCGGAACGUACCCUAGAGUGGGGGAUAACGCAGCGAAAGUUGCGCUAAUACCGCAUACGAUCUACGGAUGAAAGAGGGGGGAUCGCAAGACCUCAUGCUCAUGGAGCGGCCGAUAUCUGAUUAGCUAGUUGGUGGGGUAAAGGCCUACCAAGGCUUCGAUCAGUAGCUGGUCUGAGAGGACGACCAGCCACACUGGAACUGAGACACGGUCCAGACUCCUACGGGAGGCAGCAGUGGGGAAUUUUGGACAAUGGGCGAAAGCCUGAUCCAGCAAUGCCGCGUGAGUGAAGAAGGCCUUCGGGUUGUAAAGCUCUUUUGUCAGGGAAGAAACGGUGGACUCUAAUACAGAUCACUAAUGACGGUACCUGAAGAAUAAGCACCGGCUAACUACGUG
Molecule: ribosomal RNA, 487 nt
Filed under: uncultured bacterium
Lineage: Bacteria
Description: bacterial SSU rRNA
Rfam family: Bacterial small subunit ribosomal RNA
Source: RNAcentral